Molecule: ribosomal RNA, 121 nt
Filed under: Eugenia capparidifolia
Lineage: Eukaryota; Viridiplantae; Streptophyta; Magnoliopsida; Myrtales; Myrtaceae
Description: partial 18S ribosomal RNA
Rfam family: Eukaryotic small subunit ribosomal RNA
Source: RNAcentral
GAUGCGGCGAGUGGGCGGNUCGCUCNUGAUGACCUCGCGAGAAGUCCACUGAACCUUAUCAUUUAGAGGAAGGAGAAGUCGUAACAAGGUUUCCGUAGGUGAACCUGCGGAAGGAUCAUUG